GGUCAAGUUUAUGAGGGAUCCCUACACGGUGAAAAAUUUGCUAUUAAGAAACUUAGAUUUCCUCCGGAUGAGCAGACAAAAAAAGGAUUGGACGAGAUCCAUGUCAUUAGCAGUGUCCGUCACCGAAAUCUUGUCAAGCUGCUUGGUUACUGCGUUGAUAGAUCCAAUAAUGUAUUGCUUGUUUUAGAGUAUUUUCGCAACAAAUCCUUGAAAGUUAAUUUACAUGAAAAGGAGGAGAUUUUAGACUGGCAAAAAAGAAGAAAAAUUGCUAUAGGUUCUGCGAAAGGAUUGGAGUAUCUACAUGAUCACUGUUCUCCUAAAAUCAUACAUCAAGAUAUCAAACCAGAUAAUAUUCUUCUUGAUGAUAACUUUGAACCAAAGGCAGGAAGUCAAAUUAAGAAAGCUCUGGGAGGAGAAUUUAAGGAUUUUGUUGAUUUCAAAUUGCU
This 446-nucleotide unclassified non-coding RNA is filed under the name Hevea brasiliensis (rubber tree). The record is from RNAcentral. Lineage: Eukaryota; Viridiplantae; Streptophyta; Magnoliopsida; Malpighiales; Euphorbiaceae.